GAAUCCAUCUUUGAAAUUGAAUCUGCAGAACAAAAGGAACCAUAAGACUAGAGUAAAGAAAAAAAAUGAUUUAGUGUGUCACAAGUAAUAUGGGAUUGACUUCUUUUUUACAACAAAAAGAACCAUAAGACUAGAAUAAAGAAAUAAAUGAUAGUGUGACAAAACAACAUUUUUAAUGAAGAGAGAAAAUGAAACAUUACAACAUGAAGGAUGAUGGAUCCUCCUAUCUUAACCAGCACAAAACAAGAAGCAACACCCAAAUGGAAAAAUGGCUAAAAAUGUAUUGUUCUCUAAUCCUAUAUUGAAAAAUGCUUAAAGAUACUCAGAAAGCCCCUGCUGUCCAAUGGCAAAUUCCAAAUUCCAAGUCCUCUUCUACCUCAACAAGCACACAAUGCAAUAAGCCACACUGUCACAAUUAAUAUACACCAACAGAUUUGAGAUGCGAAUUCAAUAAGAAGCAACACUAAUUCAUCUCAAUAGAACUUACAGGAAUUUAUCAAAGUUCAAAGACUAAUCAAUUCUAAUGUUCGCUAAAGACUUAGAAGCCAAGUUUUAGCAAAAUAGCAUCAUCUGAUUAAGAUGCCAAGAAGACAGCCAGGAAUAUGGAUCCUAGAGUAUCAUAUGAAGUGCAAUUUGAAACCUCAUGAGGAACUUGAACAUAUGUACAAUUACGCAUGUUCCAGAAUCAAGUAUUUGCUAAUCAAAGUAAGUCUUCACAUGAAGGCAUCAGUAGCAGAACUGCAGAAGCAAGAUGGAAUAUCCAAAGAAUAGAGAGGAUUCUUAACCCAAUAACGGGAAAAGAAUUUUUGGCUCUAAAAUAAAGUGUCAUUCUAACCAAAUAACAGCACAUUCUAGACUCUAAAACAAAACAUCAAUAUAAAUUAUUAAGCCACAUUUUAAUCCAAUCAGCUUUCCGUACAUGUGAAAAAUAAUAAUAAAGAAAAUCACAUUCACAACAAUCUAACAAGAUUAGACUUCCAUUUUGAAAUCUUUUCAUUUAUCAAACUGGUAACAAAUUCAAGGAAAAUGAGCCCAAGAUGCUACAGAAAGCAAUAGUAAAGUAGUCAAGUCCUGCUACUGCUCAUAACUCCAAAUUGGAAGUGCCAGAGAGCAAAUAUUACUUACCAAUAAUGGAGCCAAGUGUCUCCAUUUCAAGAACAUGCUAUCAUACUGGCUAACCUUAAGAACCAUGACAGAUAUGCGAAUGGAACAUCACAAAACUGAACCAAACCCAAUACGGUCCAGUGGAUUCUUGGCAUCAAGGACCAAGCUCAAUUGAAGAUGAAGAAUACAGAAAUCAAAGAUUCAAUUCCCAUUCUGUAAUUCUGUUGAACAUAAAUCGCAAAGGCACAUGCAGAAAAAGGCAAUAACAACACAAAUCCAACAGUACCCAAGAAGAAUUCUAACACAUCCGUACAAUCUAUAGUAGUAAUAAU
RNAcentral lists this unclassified non-coding RNA (1436 nucleotides) under Hevea brasiliensis (rubber tree). Lineage: Eukaryota; Viridiplantae; Streptophyta; Magnoliopsida; Malpighiales; Euphorbiaceae. The record is from RNAcentral.